CGGGUGAGUAAUGUCUGGGAAACUGCCUGAUGGAGGGGGAUAACUACUGGAAACGGUAGCUAAUACCGCAUAAUGUCGCAAGACCAAAGAGGGGGACCUUCGGGCCUCUUGCCAUCGGAUGUGCCCAGAUGGGAUUAGCUAGUAGGUGGGGUAACGGCUCACCUAGGCGACGAUCCCUAGCUGGUCUGAGAGGAUGACCAGCCACACUGGAACUGAGACACGGUCCAG
Molecule: ribosomal RNA, 228 nt
Filed under: uncultured bacterium
Lineage: Bacteria
Description: partial 16S ribosomal RNA
Rfam family: Bacterial small subunit ribosomal RNA
Source: RNAcentral